Molecule: ribosomal RNA, 501 nt
Filed under: uncultured bacterium
Lineage: Bacteria
Description: bacterial SSU rRNA
Rfam family: Bacterial small subunit ribosomal RNA
Source: RNAcentral
UCAGGAUGAACGCUGGCGGCGUGCCUAACACAUGCAAGUCGAGCGGGAAAGUUGCGGAAAUAAGCUUCGGCAGAAAUAAGCGAUGGAUAGCGGCGGACGGGUGAGUAACGCGUAGGUAAGCUGCCCCGUGCAGAGGGAUAGCCUAGGGAAACCUGGAUUAAUACCACAUAAUGCGGAGGGGUCACAUGGCUCCAUCGCCAAAGAUUUAUCGGCAUGGGAUGCACCUGCGUCUGAUUAGAUAGUUGGUAGGGUAACGGCCUACCCAAGUCAACGAUCAGUAGCCGACCUGAGAGGGUAAUCGGCCACAUUGGAACUGAGACACGGUCCAAACUCCUACGGGAGGCAGCAGUGGGGAAUAUUGCACAAUGGGCGCAAAACGCCUGAUGCAGCAACGCCGCGUGAGUGAUGAAGGUCUUCGGGUCGUAAAACUCUGUCCUUGGGGACGAAGGAAGUGACGGUACCCAAGGAGGAAGCCCCGGCUAACUACGUGCCAGCCGCCGC